GCAAGUCGAACGGUAACAUUUCUUGCUUGCAAGAAGAUGACGAGUGGCGCACGGGUGCGUAACGCGUAUGCAAUCUACCUCUAACAGGGGGAUAGCCCGAAGAAAUUCGGAUUAAUACCCCAUAAUAUAUUUACCUCGCAUGGGGUUGAAUAUUAAAGUUUCAACGGUUAGAGAUGAGCAUGCGUGACAUUAGCUAGUUGGUAAGGUAACGGCUUACCAAGGCAACGAUGUCUAGGGGGUCUGAGAGGAUUAUC
This 254-nucleotide ribosomal RNA is filed under the name uncultured bacterium. RNAcentral's name for it is "partial 16S ribosomal RNA". It matches the Rfam family "Bacterial small subunit ribosomal RNA", at positions 57 to 305 of the family's 1533-position model. The record is from RNAcentral.